This 582-nucleotide long non-coding RNA is filed under the name Nicotiana benthamiana. Its description in RNAcentral is "long non-coding RNA (NBEN_LNC011875)". Lineage: Eukaryota; Viridiplantae; Streptophyta; Magnoliopsida; Solanales; Solanaceae. The record is from RNAcentral.
AAUCUUCCAUUUCGCCAAAGAGUAGCAACACAGUAACGUUCAGAAGCAAGAACUUCAAAAUCAGAAAACGUUAGAGGCAAACACGGUUUCGUUCUAAUAUCAAAGAAUCCAGGUGUAAAUUUUGCAAAAGUAGAUUCAUUCAAAUAAUUAAAGAAAGAGGUAUGUUAAGGCUAAGCCGUUCUUUCAUUUGGCUUGAUCUCAUCAUCAUUUGACUGCUGACCCGUUGUUACUCAAUCUUUCCGGUACAUGUUCGGCUCGAGGAGCUGUUUCUAGUGCUGCUAUGUUUGGUUUUUUUUUUAUGGAUUUGCAGUUGAGCAAUCGACAAUUGUUGUGCCUGUAACAUUUCAAAAAUAACGUGAAGGCUAACCUCUUGUUCCUCCCGAGCUGGGGUUUUCUGAGCUUCUUGUUGGUCUCCUAGUCGUACGCUCCUGUUAGUGUGGGAGCUUACAUGGACAUGUUGAGCAUCACGUGAGACCACAUCCGUAGGGAUUGGCUCUGGUGCGUCCUCAAGGUUUCGCGGUGGUACACCAAUAACUGGAACAACUACACCAUUCUCUCCAUGGUUUUCAAGACCGUUUUUUC